GCAAGUCGAGCGGAUGAGAGGAGCUUGCUCCUCGAUUCAGCGGCGGACGGGUGAGUAAUGCCUAGGAAUCUGCCUAGUAGUGGGGGACAACGUUUCGAAAGGAACGCUAAUACCGCAUACGUCCUACGGGAGAAAGUGGGGGAUCUUCGGACCUCACGCUAUUAGAUGAGCCUAGGUCGGAUUAGCUAGUUGGUAGGGUAAAGGCCUACCAAGGCGACGAUCCGUAACUGGUCUGAGAGGAUGAUCAGUCACACUGGAACUGAGACACGGUCCAGACUCCUACGGGAGGCAGCAGUGGGGAAUAUUGGACAAUGGGCGAAAGCCUGAUCCAGCCAUGCCGCGUGUGUGAAGAAGGCCUUCGGGUCGUAAAGCACUUUAAGUUGGGAGGAAGGGCUCAUAGCGAAUACCUGUGAGUUUUGACGUUACCAACAGAAUAAGCACCGGCUAACUUCGUGCCAGCAGCCGCGGUAAUACGAAGGGUGCAAGCGUUAAUCGGAAUUACUGGGCGUAAAGCGCGCGUAGGUGGCUUGAUAAGUUGGAUGUGAAAUCCCCGGGCUCAACCUGGGAACUGCAUCCAAAACUGUCUGGCUAGAGUGCGGUAGAGGGUAGUGGAAUUUCCAGUGUAGCGGUGAAAUGCGUAGAUAUUGGAAGGAUCGUCAUUGUCAAAUUCGUCUUGCCGCACGAUUACAUACCCUGGUA
RNAcentral lists this ribosomal RNA (699 nucleotides) under Pseudomonas sp. J293. RNAcentral's name for it is "bacterial SSU rRNA". It matches the Rfam family "Bacterial small subunit ribosomal RNA", at positions 57 to 751 of the family's 1533-position model. The record is from RNAcentral. Lineage: Bacteria; Pseudomonadati; Pseudomonadota; Gammaproteobacteria; Pseudomonadales; Pseudomonadaceae.